UGGUGGGUUGCCUUGUCAGGUUGAUUCCGGUAACGAACGAGACCUCAGCCUGCUAAAUAGUCACGAUUGGCUCGCCAGUCGGCGGACUUCUUAGAGGGACUAUUGGCGACUAGCCAAUGGAAGCAUGAGGCAAUAACA
RNAcentral lists this ribosomal RNA (138 nucleotides) under uncultured eukaryote. RNAcentral's name for it is "partial 18S ribosomal RNA". It matches the Rfam family "Eukaryotic small subunit ribosomal RNA", at positions 1299 to 1458 of the family's 1831-position model. The record is from RNAcentral.